Molecule: ribosomal RNA, 475 nt
Filed under: uncultured Acetothermia bacterium
Lineage: Bacteria; Candidatus Bipolaricaulota
Description: bacterial SSU rRNA
Rfam family: Bacterial small subunit ribosomal RNA
Source: RNAcentral
GGUGGAGCAUGUGGUUCAAUUCGAUGCAAACCGAAGAACCUUACCCGGGCUUGACAUGCUGGUGGUACCGACCCGAAAGGGAAGGGACCCAUGGCCUUCGGGCGCUUGGGAACCAGCACAGGUGCUGCAUGGCUGUCGUCAGCUCGUGUCGUGGGAUGUUGGGUUAAGUCCUGAAACGAGCGCAACCCCUGCUGCCCGUUGCCAACGGACCCUGCGGGGUGCCGGGGACUCAGGCGGGACUGCCGGCGAAUAGCCGGAGGAAGGAGGGGAUGAUGUCAAGUCCUCAUGGCCCUUAUGUCCGGGGCUACACACAUGCUACAGUGCCCAGCACAAUGGGUCGCCAACCCGCAAGGGGGAGCCAAUCCCAUCAAAACUGGGCAUGGUUCGGAUUGCAGGCUGCAACCCGCCUGCAUGAAGCCGGAAUCGCUAGUAAUCGCGGGUCAGCCACACCGCGGUGAAUACGUUCCCGGGUCUU